CAGAGGGGGCAAGCGUUGUCCGGAAUUACUGGGCGUACAGCGCGCGCAGGCGGACCGCCACGUGCCGUGUGACAAGCCACUGCUCAACAGUGGAGGGCCAUGGUACACGAGCAGUCUGGAGGCAGGGAGAGGGAUGUGGAAUGCCCGGUGGAGCGGUGAAAUGCGUAGAGAUCGGGCGGAACACCAGCGGCGAAGGCGGCAUCCUGGUCCUGUACUGACGCUGAGGCGCGAGAGCGUGGGGAGCAAACUGGAUUAGAUACCCAGGUAGUCCACGCCGUAAACGAUGUGUACCCGGCGCUGGGGAGUGAUUGCGCUCCUCGGUGCCUCAGCUUACGCAGUGAGUACACCGCCUGGGGACUACGGCCGCAAGGCUA
This 374-nucleotide ribosomal RNA is filed under the name uncultured organism. Its description in RNAcentral is "bacterial SSU rRNA". It matches the Rfam family "Bacterial small subunit ribosomal RNA", at positions 526 to 896 of the family's 1533-position model. The record is from RNAcentral.